This 1200-nucleotide ribosomal RNA is filed under the name Lactobacillus delbrueckii subsp. bulgaricus. RNAcentral describes it as "bacterial SSU rRNA". It matches the Rfam family "Bacterial small subunit ribosomal RNA", at positions 60 to 1230 of the family's 1533-position model. Lineage: Bacteria; Bacillati; Bacillota; Bacilli; Lactobacillales; Lactobacillaceae. The record is from RNAcentral.
AGUCGAGCGAGCUGAAUUCAAAGAUUCCUUCGGGGUGAUUUGUUGGACGCUAGCGGCGGAUGGGUGAGUAACACGUGGGCAAUCUGCCCUAAAGACUGGGAUACCACUUGGAAACAGGUGCUAAUACCGGAUAACAACAUGAAUCGCAUGAUUCAAGUUUGAAAGGCGGCGUAAGCUGUCACUUUAGGAUGAGCCCGCGGCGCAUUAGCUAGUUGGUGGGGUAAAGGCCUACCAAGGCAAUGAUGCGUAGCCGAGUUGAGAGACUGAUCGGCCACAUUGGGACUGAGACACGGCCCAAACUCCUACGGGAGGCAGCAGUAGGGAAUCUUCCACAAUGGACGCAAGUCUGAUGGAGCAACGCCGCGUGAGUGAAGAAGGUUUUCGGAUCGUAAAGCUCUGUUGUUGGUGAAGAAGGAUAGAGGCAGUAACUGGUCUUUAUUUGACGGUAAUCAACCAGAAAGUCACGGCUAACUACGUGCCAGCAGCCGCGGUAAUACGUAGGUGGCAAGCGUUGUCCGGAUUUAUUGGGCGUAAAGCGAGCGCAGGCGGAAUGAUAAGUCUGAUGUGAAAGCCCACGGCUCAACCGUGGAACUGCAUCGGAAACUGUCAUUCUUGAGUGCAGAAGAGGAGAGUGGAAUUCCAUGUGUAGCGGUGGAAUGCGUAGAUAUAUGGAAGAACACCAGUGGCGAAGGCGGCUCUCUGGUCUGCAACUGACGCUGAGGCUCGAAAGCAUGGGUAGCGAACAGGAUUAGAUACCCUGGUAGUCCAUGCCGUAAACGAUGAGCGCUAGGUGUUGGGGACUUUCCGGUCCUCAGUGCCGCACCAAACGCAUUAAGCGCUCCGCCUGGGGAGUACGACCGCAAGGUUGAAACUCAAAGGAAUUGACGGGGGCCCGCACAAGCGGUGGAGCAUGUGGUUUAAUUCGAAGCAACGCGAAGAACCUUACCAGGUCUUGACAUCCUGUGCUACACCUAAAGAUAGGUGGUUCCCUUCGGGGACGCAGAGACAGGUGGUGCAUGGCUGUCGUCAGCUCGUGUCGUGAGAUGUUGGGUUAAGUCCCGCAACGAGCGCAACCCUUGUCUUUAGUUGCCAUCAUUAAGUUGGGCACUCUAAAGAGACUGCCGGUGACAAACCGGAGGAAGGUGGGGAUGACGUCAAGUCAUCAUGCCCCUUAUGACCUGGGCUACACACGUGCUACAA